Molecule: ribosomal RNA, 433 nt
Filed under: uncultured bacterium
Lineage: Bacteria
Description: partial 16S ribosomal RNA
Rfam family: Bacterial small subunit ribosomal RNA
Source: RNAcentral
AACGAACGCUGGCGGCAUGCCUAACACAUGCAAGUCGAACGAGACCUCCGGGUCUAGUGGCGCACGGGUGCGUAACGCGUGGGAACCUGCCCUUAGGUUCGGAAUAACUCCCCGAAAGGGGUGCUAAUACCGGAUAAUGUCUUCGGACCAAAGAUUUAUCGCCUUUGGAUGGGCCCGCGUUGGAUUAGCUAGUUGGUAGGGUAAAAGCCUACCAAGGCGACGAUCCAUAGCUGGUCUGAGAGGAUGACCAGCCACACUGGGACUGAGACACGGCCCAGACUCCUACGGGAGGCAGCAGUGGGGAAUAUUGGACAAUGGGCGAAAGCCUGAUCCAGCAAUGCCGCGUGAGUGAUGAAGGCCUUAGGGUUGUAAAGCUCUUUUACCCGGGAUGAUAAUGACAGUACCGGGAGAAUAAGCUCCGGCUAACUCCGUG